RNAcentral lists this ribosomal RNA (333 nucleotides) under Klebsiella variicola. RNAcentral describes it as "bacterial LSU rRNA". It matches the Rfam family "Bacterial large subunit ribosomal RNA", at positions 1 to 329 of the family's 2925-position model. Lineage: Bacteria; Pseudomonadati; Pseudomonadota; Gammaproteobacteria; Enterobacterales; Enterobacteriaceae. The record is from RNAcentral.
GGGUUGUGAGCUUAAGCGACUAAGCUUACCCGGUGGAUGCCCUGGCAGUCAGAGGCGAUGAAGGACGUGCUAAUCUGCGAAAAGCGUCGGUAAGGUGAUAUGAACCGUUCUAGCCGGCGAUGUCCGAUUGGGGAAACCCAGUGCAAUUCGUUGCCCUAUCGUUAACUGAAUACAUAGGUAAACGAGUCGAACCGGGGGAACUGAAACAUCUAAUAACCCCGAGGAAAAUAAAUCAACCGAGUUUCCCCCGGUAGCGGCGAGCGACCGGGGAGCAGCCCAGAGUCUGAUGCACCUUUAGUGUUAGUGGAACGGUCGGGAAAGUCCGUGGGUACA